AAUAAACGAAUUCCUAAGUUUUUGAUUAAAUUUUUGACUCUUCGUCUUAUUUGAAAUUUUUCAUGAUUAAUAUUUUUAUUAUUAUUACAAAAUAAAACAUGAAUAGUACUUUGCAUGUGACUAAUUUUUUUAAUGUUUUAAUAAAUUUUUCAAAUAAGACGGAUGGUAAAACGUUCCAUAGACAAAACUCAAA
RNAcentral lists this microRNA precursor (193 nucleotides) under Oryza brachyantha (malo sina). Its description in RNAcentral is "MIR812 microRNA precursor family". It matches the Rfam family "MIR812 microRNA precursor family". The record is from Rfam by way of RNAcentral. Lineage: Eukaryota; Viridiplantae; Streptophyta; Magnoliopsida; Poales; Poaceae.